UGCCUAACACAUGCAAGUCGAAUGUGCCGCAAGGUGCAUGGCAGACGGGUGAGUAACGCGUGGGCAAUCUACCUUUUCGUGGGGAAUAACGUUCCGAAAGGAAUGGUAAUACCGCAUGAGACCAUCGGUUGGGAUACGGAUGGUGAAAGCUGGGGACCUUCGGGCCUGGCGCGAGAAGAGGAGCCUGCGUCUGAUUAGCUAGUUGGUGGGGUAAUGGCCUACCAAGGCGACGAUCAGUAGCCGGCCUGAGAGGGUGAUCGGCCACACUGGAACUGAGACACGGUCCAGACUCCUACGGGAGGCAGCAGUGGGGAAUUUUGCGCAAUGGACGAAAGUCUGACGCAGCAACGCCGCGUGGGUGAUGAAGGUCUUCGGAUUGUAAAACCC
This 387-nucleotide ribosomal RNA is filed under the name uncultured organism. Its description in RNAcentral is "bacterial SSU rRNA". It matches the Rfam family "Bacterial small subunit ribosomal RNA", at positions 45 to 433 of the family's 1533-position model. The record is from RNAcentral.